CCGAGUUUACAAACUCCCAAACCCCAGUGUGAACCUCUACCGCAACGUUGCCUCGGCGGGACUCGCCCCGGGCGCGCCCUCUAACGGACGCCCGGAUACCACGGCGCCCGCCGCAGGACCCCCAAAACUCUCUUGCAUCUGCAGCGUCGUUUUCUUCUGAGUGGUGGCCUUUUCCCCGCGAGAGCGGGAGGAAAUGAAUCA
This 201-nucleotide unclassified non-coding RNA is filed under the name uncultured Polycephalomyces. RNAcentral's name for it is "sequence contains ITS1". The record is from RNAcentral. Lineage: Eukaryota; Fungi; Ascomycota; Sordariomycetes; Hypocreales; Ophiocordycipitaceae.